CCACUGAGUGAUGAUGAAAUUGUCACCUAUGUGCUUGACGGACUUGACAAAGAAUACGACCGUCUGGUGACCUCCCUCACCACGUGUGUGGAACAGGUAACUCUGAGUGAUCUAUAAGCUCAUCUAAUGAGUUUCGAGA
Small nucleolar RNA from Dioscorea cayenensis subsp. rotundata (Guinea yam), 139 nucleotides. RefSeq annotates it as small nucleolar RNA Z247. Lineage: Eukaryota; Viridiplantae; Streptophyta; Magnoliopsida; Dioscoreales; Dioscoreaceae. The record is from RefSeq and is a predicted model, not a curated record. The transcript has a single exon.